GCCUGAGCCAUCCAAUGGAAAAUGGCGGAGUACUUGGCUGUCAUCUUCCGCACCGAGAAAGACAAAGUCAACUGUUCAUUUUAUUUCAAAAUCAAGCAUGUUGUCAUGGAGACUGAUGUUCUCAGUUAUACAAUAAACUGACCUUUAGCAAGACCAUUGCCCUCUUGAACAUUUACCGUAACCCUAGAAUUCUUUCCAGUCUGUUGACGGUUUGUGCUGUGCUGUGAGCAACGUGGAGAUACAGGAGCACUAUGAUGAGUUCUUUGAGGAAGUCUUCAGUAAAAUGGAAGAAAAGUAUGCAGAGGUUGAGGAGAUGAAUGGCAGUGACAACCUAGGAGACCACUUACAGGGGGCUGGGGAUUUAGCUCAGUGGUAGAGCGCUUACCUAGGAAGCUCAAGGCCCUGGGUUCGGUCCCCAGCUCCAAAAAAAAAAAAAAAAAAAAAAGGAGACCACUUACUGGGGAACGUGUACGUCAAGUUUCGAAGUGAAGAGAAAGCUGUAAUCAACUUGAAUAAUUGUUGGUUUAAUGGGCAGCCAAUCCAUGCAAAGCUGUCACCAGUAACUGACUUUAGGGAAGCCUGCUGCCUCCAGUAAGAAAGGAGGGAGUGCACAAAAGGGGGCU
RNAcentral lists this long non-coding RNA (623 nucleotides) under Rattus norvegicus (Norway rat). RNAcentral's name for it is "long non-coding RNA NONRATT029128". The record is from RNAcentral. Lineage: Eukaryota; Metazoa; Chordata; Mammalia; Rodentia; Muridae.